GGAGACAUGGCCCAGUGGUAAGGCAGAGGACUGGAAAUCCUUUUUCCCCAGUUCAAAUACCGGUGUCGCCU
Molecule: transfer RNA, 71 nt
Filed under: Datura stramonium (jimsonweed)
Lineage: Eukaryota; Viridiplantae; Streptophyta; Magnoliopsida; Solanales; Solanaceae
Description: tRNA-Ser
Rfam family: tRNA
About the family: Transfer RNA (tRNA) molecules are approximately 80 nucleotides in length.
Source: RNAcentral